This is a long non-coding RNA of Zea mays, 1828 nucleotides long. RefSeq lists it as uncharacterized. The record is from RefSeq and is a predicted model, not a curated record. The transcript is spliced from 6 exons. Lineage: Eukaryota; Viridiplantae; Streptophyta; Magnoliopsida; Poales; Poaceae.
AAAUUCUCCUUCCAACACACCAAAUCCAUAUGAACAAGGCAUCUCGAUUAUUGGGCGAACACUAUCGAAAUUCGAUGAAGAUAAUCUGAUUCCAUGUUUCGGAUUUGGAGAUGCAUCAACGCAUGAUCAAGACGUCUUUGUUUCUCUCCUGACGAGAAACCUUGUAAUGGAUCUGAAGAAACUUUUGGACAAUGCAGGGAACUUGUACCACAUUUUCGUUUAGCUCGGAAGUUGUUAUGCCUUGUUCAUCCAUUUAAUUGCAUUGUUCAUAUGUGUUUACACUAAUUCUUAACAGGAUCAACACCCUUUGCACCAAUGUGAAGCAAAGUGGUGGACAAUACCAAGUCCUGUUGAUAAUUGCAGAUGGGAAGUUGCAGGACGCCAUGGCAGCCUUGCCCCGCUCCCCCAACAGCGCCCGCCUGCCCCUUUCCUUGCGCGACGCGAGAUGGAUCGGUGAAUCCAUGGCAGCUUGGUGGAGCACGACGUCCUUUUUGAAAAUGGUUUGGUCAUACACAAACUUGUGGGGUGAAAUUUCGGCUUUGGCCUCCUUCUGCGAGGUGGAUUUGGAUAGCGCGGUGCAGAAAAAAUGGCGGCUUCAGCUCUCCACCUCUGCCGCCUCCCCAAGCCACGGCAGGUGUGAAGCUUCAGCAGAGGCAGUUGCGCCCGAUGAGCCAUGUGGGACCUUUUACUGCACCCUUCUUCUUCUACUCCCUUCUCGUUGCAUUCCUGUUCUUUUCGCUUGUGCGAAUGGCAGAGCUACGCUUACUAGGGUGCUGCCCUGUGUGCCCCACCCAGGACACAGUAUGCUGCUCACCAUGGCGCUGCGCUGUGACUCAGCAAAGUGGCAAGAUGCAAGGCUUGCCGAGCUGCCUAGCCAUUAUAAUGCUUGGUCCUUGAAUUGAAGUCAAUUGAUUUCCGAUUUAAUAAGGCACAGUUUGUUUGAGCUUCUGCUGUCGUCUUCACAUAUUUUAAUUUUUAAUGCAUGUGGGGAUUACUGAAAUUGUUGUGCAGACAUGUGUUUUGAGAUUGUGUGCUAUUUGUGCCUGAUUUUAUUGCACAGGCAGGGUGGUCUAUCUCAAAGAUUUUUGAAAGUUGUUUCUUAUUAUGGUCUCACGACUCUGCCAUAUAAACUGGUCUGUAAGCUUGUUGGUGCCAAUCUCAGAAGGUUUGUGUGCUGUCAUUAAAGGAAUAUCCAAAUUUUAACUUUGUUAAACUUUGUUCUCUGGUACAAUGUCCAGGAUGCUCUGGAACCUUACAUGAGAAAGAGAACAGUUGAACUUCACUAGGGUAAGCACCAUCAAGAUUACGUGGAUGGCUUGAAUAAGUAGCUGGCUACCAGCCCUCUGUAUGUAUAUACACCCUGGACGAUCUGAUAAAAGAAGCCCACAACAAUGGUCUCGAAUCAUCACUUUUUCUGGGAAUCGAUGCAACCAGAAGGUGGUGGCUUACCUGAGGGAGGUGUGCUAUAGCAGAUUGAAAAGGAUUUUGGCUUGUUUACUAAUUUUAGGGAAGAGUUUAUUCGUUCAGCCUUACAACUAUUGGGGUCUGGUUGGGUUUGGCUUGCUUUGAAGAGAAAUAAGAGAAAGCUUUCAGUAGUUCAUACACGAAACAUUAUCUACCCACUUGCUUUUGGUAUAUUGUAUGUUCAUACACAAUGAAUGAUAUAGAACCACCAAAGAGUUGAUUGUAUAUUGAUCCUUUUUCUGCUUCAUAUAUCUGAACUCUACAAUGUGAGGUAGGUAGCAUUUGAGAAUUCUUUUUCUAAUUGUUCAAGCAAACUGGAUGUGCACACAGUAACUGCAUUAGUAGACGUGAUGCCUUCAUUCUC